AAGCCCCUCAGUUUUUGGCAACAGGGGGUUCGAUAGUGAGUUAAAUACUGCACUACAUGGAAGAAAGGUUUAAAUCUUUUCUAAAUUUGUGGGGCACAAUGACAGGAAACAGGUCAGGCUUUGGGCAAGUUUGGGUACCACACGCGAGGUCACAAGGUUGGGGGCAAUGCUACUGUAGUUCUGGAGAUUGAAGGGAGUGUUGGGUGUGAUGUAGUGGCAGCAUCAGGUGUGAAGGUCAUGGAAUUGUCUGGUUGCAUUCCUGGUGCGGCCAGACAGAAUGCUCAUGUGCUUAUGUAUCUUUUUCAGGGGAUUCUGGCGAUCCAUUUAAAACAAAAGAUGUAAGAAAAAAUUUGGAAGAGUGAGUUUUGGGAAUAUAUUCUCUUGCUUUUUUGCAUUCUUACGUUGUUCAGUUAUCUAGACUUAAGUUUUUUUUUAGCUACUCAAAGGUAGUCAAAGCAAGUGGGACAGCGGCUGUAAGUUCAAGCACAAGUGCCCUGGCUUUAGGGAAGCUCACAGACUCAGCAGGUUCUUCAAGUGGGGUAAGACCAAUUCCACCACUGGCUCAUCUAGCUCUGUGGAAGCUCACGUUGACUCAGGGGUAAAAUCAAGUGAAGUUAGGCGCAAUGCUACCCUGGCUAAGCCACUAUGCUAAUCAUGAAGUGAAGAGGUGCAUGUUUGUUAAGGGACCAUUUUGCACUUUCGUGCCUUGAAUUCAGUUUUGGAGUUCCCGCAGGUGGUUAGGGACAAUUUGUUCAAGGAGGUAUGGCUAUGUGGGAUGACAGGGCUGUUUGAGCUGUUCCUAUUGGAAAAUCUCAGAAUCUUAUUAGGGGUUGUGCUGAAGAAGUUGACUAGAAAAUACAGACUUAUCCACUAUCUGUCUCCUCCUAAAGGGUCAUCAGUAAAUGAUGGUAUUGAUGGCGGUCAAGUUGGUUAAGAGGUCUGGCAAAAAACGCUCUGUUGGCUAAGGCAGCUUUUACCCAUUCAUCCUUUUUGCCGUAAUUUAUUAGGAUGUCUAUCGAUGGGAUGCUUCAUCUCAUGUGCUUAUUUAAAAAUGUUCAGCACUUAGUUAGUGAGGAAGCUGGUAGUAAAUUAGCUUUGUGUGCGCCCUUCUGAUUCAAAUUCUUGCCUAUACGUGAAUGUGGGAAUGGGUAGCUCAAUUGUUCGGUGUAAUAUUGGAGGCUGACAAAACAGAGGGCCCAGCUACAUGUUCUUCAAGUGGGGUAAGACCAAUUCCACCACUGGCGCAUCUAGCUCUGUGGAAGCUCACGUUGACUCAGGGGCAAAAUCAAGUGAGGUUAGGCGCAGCUACAUGUAUAACUUUCUAGGGUUGGAGAGGGGUGGGUAUAGGCUUCCUGUGGACAAAGUAAUUGCAUUGCAGUAGGUUGUGGUAAAGGUAAACAAAGCCAGGAAGGUGACAUUGAGGCAACUACAAUCUUUGAUUGGCCGUCUUAACUUUGGGUUACCCUGAUGGGGCAAUUUUUUAACAGGUUUUUGGGUAAGCCUACUUGUGGGAAUGAAUCGACUCAUCACUUUAUUCAGGGUCACUGCUGCUAAGGAGGCAGAGGUGGAAGUAUGGGAAACCUUUCUUUAUCUGGAUGGUGUUUUCAGAAAAGUGGUGGUUUUCCUGAGGAGCUUGAGCUCUUUAUUAAGACUUUAGGGAGCGUGGGCUUUGGGGCUUAUUUUGGAGGUCAUUGAUGUGUAGAGGUCUGAAGAGUAGAAAAUAAGCACACUCAUCUGUAAACUAGCAUUUUUCGGGUUGUUUCCAUUGGUGGUGGUACUUCCAUUGUGGGUUGAGCAGUUGAGGCAUAGAAAAGUUAUAUUCUUCCCUUACAAUAUGUCGGUUGUUCUCAUGGUUAAUAACCUGUUUGCUUCUUCGAUGCUGGUGGUGCAUGGACAUGUGCAUACAAAAAAAAAUAGAAACAAAAACAAACAAAAAAAUAUGAAUACAUAAAUAAAUAAACAUUCUAAGUAUGAAGUAUUGUUAUUUACUUGAGCUUUUGUGUUUGCUUCCUUAGGGUUGGUUGCAUGGUUGGUGGGCCAUUCGUAUGUACACUGGGCAAAGAAGAGAGCUGCAGUUGGGUUCCAAAGUUAGCAGCUGGGAUUUCCGGUGGACCAGGUUACAUUGGUGUGGCUCCAGUUUUGUGGUAUCAGGUGGAGAGAGCUGUGUCGGUAGAUGUUUCACAGGUUGGAUGAGGUAGGGGUCCCCAUAUUUUGUUUUAUUUCAUGCAGAAGGUAAAGACCUGGGCAGGUGCAAAAGCUGGAGUUGGUUAAACAAAUGAAAAGGGAUGUGAACCAAUUGCGUGAGUUAGUGGCAGUUGUAGUGGUUAUUUGGUAGAAAAUAUUUAUUCGGUUUCCCUGGAGGUAUGCUUAACAUCAAUAAAUUGAUAGCGGGUGAUUGGGCACCUGGGGCUGGAAUCAAUGUUGCCAAGUUAUUUUUUGCAUGGAUGGGGUGCAUCUUUUCAGAUGUUGGUCUCCACCGUUUCAAUGUGGGAUUACAGGAAGGCUUGGCUGGGACAUUGUAUAGUGGUGGUGGUCAGAUAUCUUAAGGGGUCAAGGUCUGAGCUGUGGCAGGGGACUGGAUAGGUAAAUUGGGAGGUGGAAUGGGUUGUUAUUAGGGAUUGAAGUAAUUAUGUGGUUUUAAAAGCUGGUAUGUGGUUUAAAAGUUGGUAUGGUAGGUUUCGAGCUGGCCUGUGGCUCAGAACCUGGGGGUGUAGGGGUAUCUUGGUAUACCCUUAUAUUUGCUCAUUCUGGCAAGUUGGUAUGGUAGGUUUUGAGCAGUCCUGUGGCUCAGAACCUGGGGGUGUAGUGGUAUCUCGGUAUACGCCUACAUUGGAUCAUUCUGACAAGUUGGUGUGGUAGGUUUUGAGCUGACCUGUGGCUCAGAACCUAGGAGUGUAGGGGUAUCUCGGUAUACUCCUACAUUGGAUCAUUCUGACAAAUUGUUUGCACUUUAUUAUGUUUCAUUAUGUUACUUAUGUUGUUAUAGUCUUAUGAUGUUAUUCUGAUAAUAUUGGGGUCAUUGUCAUUGUAAUGUUGUUGUUUUUUUUUCUUUUUUUGCCUAAAUAUAUUAUGCCUAAAAUUGGUGUUUUACAAUAUCAUUGGUUGAUUUGGAAAGAGGGGGUAUUUGAAUUGUUCAAAGUAGCGUAUAAUUGAAUUUGACAUCUACUGAGCUGGGUUUGAAUCUUGGGUCCACAAUCGAUACCAUAUUGAAUUGUCUUAGUUACAGGAAAUAGUAUAUACUAAUAUUGAUUGAAAUAAAACUAUAACCACGUCAAGUAGCAAGAAGCCAGGGUUUGUAUUUCGGUCUCAGUGAUUCUUUAUGGUAUCAUCUAAGUGAGUCUGGUGUUAUGUUUUAUUAUCUCUUAAGAUAAAAAUCCAAUCUUGUAAUAAGAGAUGCAGCAGAAAAAGCAGGGAUACAUUAAUACUAUACAUGGUAUUUGUAUGUUUGAAAGCAGAUUAAAAUUUUAUUAUUGCAGAUUUAACAUUGCAGCUUUCAAAAGGAUCUCUAAACUGCUUAACAGAUCACAAAGAAGGACCAGAGUGCUUUACAAAAUAAUAGAGAUGUGUUCAUAAAUUUACUCUCAUAAAUAAAAUCUGUGAUUUAAUUCUCAAAUAUAUAUACUUUUGUCAGUCUACCUUUGCGCAUUACCAACCUCUCUAUCAUAUUUUUCCUGCAUACUAAAAUGAAACGUUUUCCUUGCACAUAAACCAGUUACUCUCUCAAAGGUUUUUAUAACAGAAUGUUUUGCUUGGAUUUGUACCUUAAACUGUCAUUUUAAAAAAAAAAAAAUUAUGUUUAGUGAACCACAUCUAAAAAAAAUCUAAUUUUUUUUUACAGGGUUACUGCAAGCAGGGG
Pelobates cultripes (western spadefoot toad) is the source of this 3856-nucleotide non-coding RNA. NCBI's taxonomy places the organism in Eukaryota, Metazoa, Chordata, Amphibia, Anura, Pelobatidae. The record is from the annotation of a GenBank genome assembly.